UGGUUAUUUCUGUUUCAGUGACAUCCAGCCAGUGCCCUCUCAUGAGGAAGAAUCAAUUUGCAAGGUAUUGAGUAAGUCCUUGGGCUCUGCUGAGGAGAGGUGACCACCCAUGAAAACAACUGACAUGAAAAGAAUGCAAGUGCACAGUGCUGGCAAGAAGAGAGGCUGUUUGUAGCAUCAAUUGUGUAACAUGUGAGAAAGGGGAGCUGUCACCUUGGUGAAUGUGAAGAAACAGGAUCUGAGUGCAGAGAGUGGCUGUGGCUGUGUUUGAACUGCAAUGCAGGGACAGGCAGCUCCUGUUCUGGUCUCUGCAUCUGCCUGAUCCACGGACAGAACGUGUCUUUUUCCAUUUCCUGGCUGGAGGAGUCAAACCAACAUGCCCCAAACUGUGGCACGUGGUCUUACUGGUGAGUUGGGUGAAACAUAAAGAU
RNAcentral lists this long non-coding RNA (431 nucleotides) under Cyanistes caeruleus (blue tit). Its description in RNAcentral is "lncRNA (ENSCCEG00000009018.1)". Lineage: Eukaryota; Metazoa; Chordata; Aves; Passeriformes; Paridae. The record is from RNAcentral.